This 504-nucleotide ribosomal RNA is filed under the name uncultured Archaeospora. RNAcentral describes it as "SSU rRNA". It matches the Rfam family "Eukaryotic small subunit ribosomal RNA", at positions 569 to 1078 of the family's 1831-position model. The record is from RNAcentral. Lineage: Eukaryota; Fungi; Glomeromycota; Glomeromycetes; Archaeosporales; Archaeosporaceae.
AGCAGCCGCGGUAAUUCCAGCUCCAAUAGCGUAUAUUAAAGUUGUUGCAGUUAAAAAGCUCGUAGUUGAAUUUUGGGUUUUGCCGGUCGGUCCGUUCUUGUAGCGAGUACUGGUCGGUUGGGCCUCACCGCUUGAUGAUGCGUAAUGUCCUUUAUUGGGUGUUGCGAGUAGUCAAGACCUUUACCUUGAAAAAAUUAGAGUGUUUAAAGCAGGCUUAUGCCGGAAUACAUUAGCAUGGAAUAAUAGAAUAGGACGAUGAUUCUAUUUUGUUGGUUUCUAGGAGCAUCGUAAUGAUUAAUAGGGAUAGUUGGGGGCAUUAGUAUUCAAUUGUCAGAGGUGAAAUUCUUGGAUUUAUUGAAGACUAACUACUGCGAAAGCAUUUGCCAAGGAUGUUUUCAUUAAUCAAGAACGAAAGUUAGGGGAUCGAAGACGAUCAGAUACCGUCGUAGUCUUAACCAUAAACUAUGCCGACUAGGGAUCGGGCGAUGUUGUUUCAAUGACUCG